UUUAUGGCUCUUCUGAGAGCCAUUGAAAAGCCUACAACAAUAAAUAU
This is a non-coding RNA of Taeniopygia guttata (zebra finch), 47 nucleotides long. Lineage: Eukaryota; Metazoa; Chordata; Aves; Passeriformes; Estrildidae. The record is from Rfam.